GAGUCAACGUAUGAUAAUACGUGGCGAACGGCUCAGUAACACGUAGUCAACAUACCCAAAGGACGUGGAUAACCUCGGGAAACUGAGGAUAAACCGCGAUAGGUCAUAAGUACUGAAAUGUUUUAUGGCUCAAAUCUACAUGGCCUCUGGAUUGGACUGCGGCCGAUCAGGCUGUUGGUGAGGUAAUGGCCCACCAAACCUGUUACCGGUACGGGCUCUGAGAGGAGGAGCCCGGAGAUGGGCACUGAGACAAGGGCCCAGGCCCUAUGGGGCGCAGCAGGCGCGAAACCUCUGCAAUAGGCGAAAGCUUGACAGGGUUACUCUGAAUGAUUCCCGCUAAGGGAAUCUUUUGGCAUCUCUAAAAACGAUGCAGAAUAAGGGGUGGGCAAGUCUGGUGUCAGCCGCCGCGGUAAUACCAGCACCCCGAGUGGUCGGGACGAUUAUUGGGCCUAAAGCAUCCGUAGCCGGUCUUGCAAGUCUUCCGUUAAAUCCACCUGCUUAACAGAUGGGCUGCGGAAGAUACUACAAGACUAGGAGGCGGGAGAGGCAAGCGGUACUCAGUGGGUAGGGGUAAAAUCCUCUGAUCCAUUGAAGACCACCAGUGGCGAAGGCGGCUUGCCAGAACGCGCUCGACGGUGAGGGAUGAAAGCUGGGGGAGCAAACCGGAUUAGAUACCCGGGUAGUCCCAGCUGUAAACGAUGCAGACUCGGUGAUGGGCCGGCUUCAUGCCGGCUCAGUGCCGCAGGGAAGCCGUUAAGUCUGCCGCCUGGGGAGUACGGUCGCAAGACUGAA
Molecule: ribosomal RNA, 792 nt
Filed under: uncultured archaeon
Lineage: Archaea
Description: bacterial SSU rRNA
Rfam family: Archaeal small subunit ribosomal RNA
Source: RNAcentral